Lagenorhynchus albirostris (white-beaked dolphin) is the source of this 1704-nucleotide long non-coding RNA. RefSeq lists it as uncharacterized. Lineage: Eukaryota; Metazoa; Chordata; Mammalia; Artiodactyla; Delphinidae. The record is from RefSeq and is a predicted model, not a curated record. The transcript is spliced from 3 exons.
CAAAAGAGGUUAAGUAAAUUUUCCAAGGUCUCAUAACUAGUAAGUAGUGGAGUCGUGUUUGAACACAAGUCCUUCUGAAUCUGGCAAAAGUAAUGCAGUUCAUUAAAUCAUUUUUCCUCUUGGAUUUAUGAUGCUUGAAAAGUUCAGUUCAAAGCAAGCAAGAAUCAGAAAAUGGAAGCCCACUGUUUCUUGCUUUCUUCUCUAUAGAUAUUAUAAACUGGUAGCCUGAAUUCAGCAGAAGGAAAUUUUUUUAUACACAAUGUUUAACUUUAAAAAUUUUUUAAAGUGAGUUAUGACCAUUAUCAGUUACCUAUUGCUGAGCAACAAAAUGUAAAAAAAAAAAAAUAGUGGCUUAAAACACAAUAAAAAUCUGUUAUCUCAGUGUCUUAGCUGGGUGGUUCUGUCUCAUGGUCUCCUGUGAAGUUGCAGAUGUAAUGUUGGCUGGGGCUGUAUCAUCUGAAGGCUUGACUAGGGAUGGAUGAUUCACUUUCAAGGUGGCUUACUCACGCGAUUGGCAUGAUGGUGCUGACUGUUGAUGGGAGAUCUCAAUUAUACCCCAUGUAGGCCUCUUCACAGACUGCUUGACUGUCCUCAUUUCACAGUGGCUAACCUCCCCUAGUCUGCUGGCUGGAUAUCCAUACUCAGAGCACCUUUGCGAGUCAUGCACUGAAGAUGGUAGAGCCUCUGUUAGCCUCAUCUCUGACUGCACGGUGCAGAGUUCCCUCUCUCCACACUCGCCCUCACCCCUAAUCUGGACUGUGGAGUGAGAAAUGAAUUUGAUUGCGUUUGCUGUCUUAAGAUAUUGCCACAGAGGAUAAUGAACAACGAAGAGAAUUCCUGAAGAGUGGAACCAGGGGUCACAGAAAAAUAUGGACAAAACAAUGCCUCUCGUAGAGGAGAAACAGAGUCCAGUCAAAGACAUUUCCCAGUGCUUCCUGGUCAGGGAGAUGUCACAGUGCCUGACCUACCGCUUUGAACCACUGUCGGCUUUCUGUCUUUCAUUUCUUCCCUUUCCGUAUGGGACACCGAAGUUCCUUGUCUCUGCUUACCAGUGUAUAUUUGGGGAGGAGAAAGGAGCAGGGGGCAGAUGACUCCUCUUUUUACUUUACAAAUUUCUCAAACAAAAAGAACCACAUGUGAACCAGAUAGAGCUGACUGAGCAUCACCCAGGGCUUUGAGCUGGAUUCAGCAGUGACUUCGGAUAAUGUUCUAGCGGGUUGGGUAGAGAGGAGUUUAUUCUGUAAGUGGGAGGAAGGAUGAAAUGGAAAGUUAUUGACCAAAAGGGAAAAUAGUGGCGGAGACUGACCAUGUGUUUUCCAAGGUCAUUUCUUUUUCUUCCCAGGCAUUAAUUUAAACUAUAUUUCUCAGGCUCUCCUGCAAUUGGGGUGGGUGGGUGGAGGGGCACGUGACUGAGUUCUGGCCAAUGAGAUGUGGACAAAGUUGAUGUAUGCUGUUUCCAGUCUUGGUUCCUAAAACACCUCCACAUUCCUCUCUGUUGUCACUCCUCUGCUAGCUGAUGUCAACAUCUAGGGCAACACGAGUUUCCUAAUUAACUGCACAGAGCAGACACCCCCAGCUGACAACAUUGAACUCUUUGUGAACAACAAAUACACUUUUAUCGUAUUAAGUCGCUGAGAUUUUGGAUUUAUUUAUUACAGAACCUAGUAUUAAGUAUGCUGACUAAUAAAAUUUCCACUGUACUAA